GCGAGCGGAGGGGCGGAAGCCGUGGUAAAGGUUAGGUGGCAGGCGUUGUCCGGAAUGAUUGGGCGUAAAGCGGUCGUAUGCGGUCGGUUGGGUCGGCUGGGAAAACCCGGGGCUUAACCCUGGGCUUGCAGUGGAUACGGACAGACUAGAGGUAGGUAGGGGAGAAUGGAAUUCCCGGUGUAGCGGUGAAAUGCGCAGAUAUCGGGAGGAACACCGGUGGCGAAGGCGGUUCUCUGGGCCUUACCUGACGCUGAGGAGCGAAAGCGUGGGGAGCGAACAGGAUUAGAUACCCGAGUAGUC
Molecule: ribosomal RNA, 300 nt
Filed under: uncultured bacterium
Lineage: Bacteria
Description: bacterial SSU rRNA
Rfam family: Bacterial small subunit ribosomal RNA
Source: RNAcentral